Long non-coding RNA from Dipodomys ordii (Ord's kangaroo rat), 989 nucleotides. RefSeq lists it as uncharacterized. The transcript has 5 exons. Lineage: Eukaryota; Metazoa; Chordata; Mammalia; Rodentia; Heteromyidae. The record is from RefSeq and is a predicted model, not a curated record.
GUGAAAGUAGACCUGCAAGCAGGUCUCAGCAAGAGGGCUCAAGGGCCUCAUACUUCUUUUGGCUGGAACCUUCUUUAGUGCUGUUCACUGAAGGAAGGUCAGGAGGAACAAGGCACAAGCGCAUUGGAUUCAGAAUUGGUAAAUACUUUGGAAUAAAACAGACAAUUAAAGAGGCUCAACUGCAGGAGAGAACACAUCAUCAUCUCAAGGAAGGGAGCUGCUUGUGCCUGCCAUGAUUCCUGAGAUCCAGGAGUAAUUCAGACGUCUUCUGGAUUUGCACCACAGACUGUUUCAAGAUGGCAAAAUGAGGGGAUAAUUCAUUCUAGGAUCAAUGUGCUUCCAGAUGAGAUUUACUCCCAAAUAUUCUGAACUCUCUCCAUAAGGAGCAAGCAAAACCAGAGAAAAAUUAUUUAACUCAGGAAACAGUAGUGUUACACUCCUUUCCUGGAAGUCACUUGGAAAUCCAGCAGCUUUUGUCAUUCCACUCACUGAGUUGAUGUCAAUGUCCUAGUAGUCGCCAGCCCACAGGCCAAUCUGUCAUGCCACCAGCUGCUGAAAACAACACAGGAUCCAUCCACAUUGACAAGAGGAAACGAGACACAUGGACCUUGACAAGUUCUACUGCCUCCAAAAAUGAAAUUGAUUUAGGCCACUAAAAACUCCAAGCUCUUUCAUUACAGGCAUUGGGAAACCACAAUAAAUCAGCUUAUUAGGGUGCAACAGGGGUACAAAUUGGUGUCUCAGUUAAUGUAGAUAAAGAUUUCAGUGCAAACUGCAUAUAUCAAAAAUUUAACACAUGCUGCCUGUAGAGGUUUAAUGAAUACAAAAAGCUCAGUUGCUGAAAACCAACCCAGGCAUUACUUCAUUUAGCUGUCAAUAAAAUUGUCUCUUAUUUUAUUUUCUAAUGGUUUAUCAAUACUGGUAAUUUGCUGCGGGUUAUAAAAAAAAUGAGGAUGGGGGAGGGAAAGGAAUUUAAAUAAAUCCUGCUA